GAUGAACGCUGGCGGCGUGCCUAAUACAUGCAAGUCGAGCGAACGGACGAGAAGCUUGCUUCUCUGAUGUUAGCGGCGGACGGGUGAGUAACACGUGGAUAACCUACCUAUAAGACUGGGAUAACUUCGGGAAACCGUAGCUAAUACCGGAUAAUAUUUUGAACCGCAUGGUUCAAAAGUGAAAGACGGUCUUGUUGUCACUUAUAGAUGGAUCCGCGCUGCAUUAGCUAGUUGGUAAGGUAACGGCUUACCAAGGCAACGAUGCAUAGCCGACCUGAGAGGGUGAUCGGCCACACUGGAACUGGGACACGGUCCAGACUCCUACGGGAGGCAGCAGUAGGGAAUCUUCCGCAAUGGGCGAAAGCCUGACGGAGCAACGCCGCGUGAGUGAUGAAGGUCUUCGGUUCGUAAAACUCUGUUAUUAGGGAAGAACAUAUGUGUAAGUAACUGUGCACAUCUUGACGGUACCUAAUCAGAAAGCCACGGCUAACUACGUG
Molecule: ribosomal RNA, 497 nt
Filed under: uncultured bacterium
Lineage: Bacteria
Description: partial 16S ribosomal RNA
Rfam family: Bacterial small subunit ribosomal RNA
Source: RNAcentral